CCUACGGGUGGCUGCAGUGAGGAAUAUUGGUCAAUGGGCGCGAGCCUGACCCAGCAACGCCGCGUGAAGGAAGAAGGCUUUCGGGUUGUAAACUUCUUUUGUCAGGGACGAAGCAAGUGACGGUACCUGACGAAUAAGCCACGGCUAACUACGUGCCAGCAGCCGCGGUAAUACGUAGGUGGCAAGCGUUAUCCGGAUUUACUGGGUGUAAAGGGCGUGUAGGCGGGACUGCAAGUCAGAUGUGAAAACCACGGGCUCAACCUGUGGCCUGCAUUUGAAACUGUAGUUCUUGAGUACUGGAGAGGCAAGCGGAAUUCCUAGGGGAGCGGGGAAAUGCGUAGAUAUUAGGAAGAACACCAGUGGCGAAGGCCG
This 372-nucleotide ribosomal RNA is filed under the name uncultured bacterium. Its description in RNAcentral is "partial 16S ribosomal RNA". It matches the Rfam family "Bacterial small subunit ribosomal RNA", at positions 338 to 724 of the family's 1533-position model. The record is from RNAcentral.